RNAcentral lists this ribosomal RNA (468 nucleotides) under uncultured bacterium. Its description in RNAcentral is "partial 16S ribosomal RNA". It matches the Rfam family "Bacterial small subunit ribosomal RNA", at positions 28 to 507 of the family's 1533-position model. The record is from RNAcentral.
GACGAACGCUGGCGGCGUGCUUAACACAUGCAAGUCGAACGGAAAGGCCCUGCUUUUGUGGGGUGCUCGAGUGGCGAACGGGUGAGUAACACGUGAGUAACCUGCCCUUGGCUUUGGGAUAACUUCAGGAAACUGGGGCUAAUACCGGAUAGGAGCUCCUGCUGCAUGGUGGGGGUUGGAAAGUUUCGGCGGUUGGGGAUGGACUCGCGGCUUAUCAGCUUGUUGGUGGGGUAGUGGCUUACCAAGGCUUUGACGGGUAGCCGGCCUGAGAGGGUGACCGGCCACAUUGGGACUGAGAUACGGCCCAGACUCCUACGGGAGGCAGCAGUGGGGAAUAUUGCACAAUGGGCGGAAGCCGGAUGCAGAAACGCCGCGUGCGGGAUGACGGCCUUCGGGUUGUAAACCGCUUUCGCCUGAGACGAAGCGUGAGUGACGGUAAUGGGUAAAGAAGCACCGGCUAACUACGUG